GGUCCCAUAGCUCAGUUGGUUAGAGCGUCGUACUAAUAUCUUCUCGUCAUCUAGAUAGGAAAUAUUAAGUAAAUGCGAAGGCCGAGAGUUCAAGCCUCUCUGGGACCA
RNAcentral lists this transfer RNA (108 nucleotides) under Annulohypoxylon maeteangense. RNAcentral describes it as "tRNA-Ile". It matches the Rfam family "tRNA". From Rfam's summary of the family: Transfer RNA (tRNA) molecules are approximately 80 nucleotides in length. Their secondary structure includes four short double-helical elements and three loops (D, anti-codon, and T loops). The record is from RNAcentral. Lineage: Eukaryota; Fungi; Ascomycota; Sordariomycetes; Xylariales; Hypoxylaceae.